CUUUAUUGCACUUUUCUUUGCUGUUGUAACAAAUUACUCGACCUACAGCAGUUGGCCGAGUAUCCCUGUGAAUUAGUCACUGGAUAACCAGGGAAUUUAUUCAGUGAAUAAAUAUAUAAGAUCAUAGUUUGUUAGUUUUACAGUUCAUGGUUAUUACAUACAUUUUACAAACUAUAUUGUUUCAUAAUUACGGAAAGUGUACAGUUUUGUCCGGUUUUGUUUCUAAAGAUUAAAACUUUAUGAUCGUUGACCUUUAACCUUAUUGAUGAAAACCGUUGAAGCUUGUUGAUCAAUUGUCCGGAUUAAUUUAUAUGUUUUAUUGAUACACACGAACAACUUAAACUUUAGUUAAAAAUUACAUGUGGUAAGUUUCGACGUUGUAGUUGGAAAUUCAUUUGAUUAAG
This 404-nucleotide long non-coding RNA is filed under the name Mytilus galloprovincialis (Mediterranean mussel). Lineage: Eukaryota; Metazoa; Mollusca; Bivalvia; Mytilida; Mytilidae. The record is from RNAcentral.